Molecule: long non-coding RNA, 789 nt
Organism: Gasterosteus aculeatus aculeatus (three-spined stickleback)
Lineage: Eukaryota; Metazoa; Chordata; Actinopteri; Perciformes; Gasterosteidae
Source: Ensembl
UGCGGUUCCAGGACAGAGACGCAACUUUCGCUUCAUUGUUUUGACACCUCUGAGCUGCAGGGACUCGAUGUUUUCUACCUGCAGCCAUGAGUCAGAUUAGACUUUCCAUGCGUUCGACGGCCUGCGCUUGCACGUCUGUGUGUGUCUAUUUGCUGUAGUGUGUCUGUGUACUCCUGCGCGUGUGUUUGCGUUCCCUACGCUUGAUAAGUGUAAAGAAACUAGGACACGACGUCUGCAAAGGGGCCGUUCUAAUUCUGUCCAGCUCGGCUCCCUGCUGCACUCUGCUCCUCCAUCACCCCUGACAUUUCCACCAGCAACCUCCGGGGGACGUGCAGACCCAUGUGGAUGGCUGCAGCGAGACGGCGGACCUGACAGAGCGCUGCGAGCUGAUCAGUGAUAGGCUGCUGACCUUGGAAGAUGAAUUGCAGACGGCCGUACUGAACCGGGACUGUGUCCUUACCCAUAUCCUUUCACUGUUCUCUAAAUAUACUGUAUGCUACCUGUGCGUGUUUCUGUCUUUGUCCAUCCAUCUUCAGGACCUAGUUUCCUCGAGGUCUUUACACUCUAAAAAAAGCACACAGCCGAACUACCUUUAGGCCCUCUGAUGUUCUGUGACUUUACCUUUUGUGAGGGAAAAAAAAAAUCAACCUGUCUUAUUUGACAUUAUGGGACCAUUCAGCUAAGGAAUUGCAGAUAAACUGGGAUCAGAGGAUCUUUCUUGACAUGCCUGCUGAAAAAUGGUAAAAGUCCUCGUGAGCUUAUUGGGGGGCGCUUGAUGUGGGCUGCCAG